UUAGGUAAAUCCGGCUCUUUUUAAGGCUGAGACACGACGUCGAGCUACUACGGUAGUGAAGUCAUUGAUGCCAUGCUUCCAGGAAAAGCCUCUAAGCUUCAGAUUGUAAGGAAUCGUACCCCAAACCGACACAGGUGGUCGGGUAGAGAAUACCAAGGCGCUUGAGAGAACUCGGGUGAAGGAACUAGGCAAAAUGGUACCGUAACUUCGGGAGAAGGUACGCUCUUGAUGGUGAAGUCCCUCGCGGAUGGAGCUGACGAGAGUCGCAGAUACCAGGUGGCUGCAACUGUUUAUUAAAAACAC
RNAcentral lists this ribosomal RNA (303 nucleotides) under Vibrio parahaemolyticus. RNAcentral describes it as "partial 23S ribosomal RNA". It matches the Rfam family "Bacterial large subunit ribosomal RNA", at positions 1532 to 1816 of the family's 2925-position model. The record is from RNAcentral. Lineage: Bacteria; Pseudomonadati; Pseudomonadota; Gammaproteobacteria; Vibrionales; Vibrionaceae.